Xenia sp. Carnegie-2017 is the source of this 705-nucleotide long non-coding RNA. RefSeq lists it as uncharacterized. The record is from RefSeq and is a predicted model, not a curated record. NCBI's taxonomy places the organism in Eukaryota, Metazoa, Cnidaria, Anthozoa, Malacalcyonacea, Xeniidae. The transcript has 3 exons.
UUACUUAAAUACGAUCUCACAACAAACACUUCAUUGCACAAGUCACCACAGCCUCAAACUAUGAAAAGAGCUUACAUACUGUUGUGUUUACUGGUUUUUAUUGAUUUUGUCAAAAUGGAGCGAUACAAGCAAAUGAAGGAAAGACCGACGAAAUCAUUAUUGGAAAAUACGUACAAAGAGAAUGUAAAUCGUGUAAGUUGUGGAAAAAUUCAUGGAGUGCCACAAUGGUGUCCGGAUGGUACAAAAUGUUGUCCAGUUCAUAGUUUUGAGAUCGAGUUUGAAAAUUACCGUUGUUGUCCUUGGUUGAAUGGAAUUUGUUGUUUUAACGGGAAUUGUUGUCGUUCAGGUUCUGGGUGUUUAAGGUUUGGCAAAUCGUGUUCUGCCCGAUGGAAUUCAACACAUGUAUGAAUAAAAUAAUGUAUAAUCUUUUCCAUGAUUACGAAUUUCUUUAUCUUGUCUGGUUGGAAUGGAUAUUUUUUCAUUUAUUUAGAUUUUCAUAUACAACACAAAAAUUUAGGCAAUAUAUAUCUUGAAAUAUGUUGGUUUUAUGCAAUUUAUUGAGUAAUUAAUAUAGCUCUUUAAAUUGUAUCUUUCGCAUUGAUUUUUACUUUUCUUUAUGACACUGAGCUGUAUAUAUACUUGGAGUGCGCGUAUUUGAAUUUGUGGCAAGAAAUAUACUUCUUAUUUUGUCGUCUGACGUUAAAA